This 57-nucleotide transfer RNA is filed under the name Ictidomys tridecemlineatus (thirteen-lined ground squirrel). Its description in RNAcentral is "Spermophilus tridecemlineatus (thirteen-lined ground squirrel) tRNA". It matches the Rfam family "tRNA", at positions 9 to 63 of the family's 71-position model. Rfam says of the family: Transfer RNA (tRNA) molecules are approximately 80 nucleotides in length. Lineage: Eukaryota; Metazoa; Chordata; Mammalia; Rodentia; Sciuridae. The record is from Rfam by way of RNAcentral.
AGCUAAGUUGGUAGAGUGUUUGCCUUGCAUACAAAAGGCCCUGGGUUUGAUCCCCAG